UCCUGGCUGGCUAGGUCAGUGGAGUGUGUGACUCUUGAUCUCAGGGUUGUGGGUUCAAGUCCCAUGUUGGGUG
This 73-nucleotide transfer RNA is filed under the name Ursus americanus (American black bear). It matches the Rfam family "tRNA". Rfam says of the family: Transfer RNA (tRNA) molecules are approximately 80 nucleotides in length. Their secondary structure includes four short double-helical elements and three loops (D, anti-codon, and T loops). RNAcentral also lists the same sequence under 2 other names. The record is from Rfam by way of RNAcentral. Lineage: Eukaryota; Metazoa; Chordata; Mammalia; Carnivora; Ursidae.